RNAcentral lists this microRNA precursor (87 nucleotides) under Paramuricea clavata. Lineage: Eukaryota; Metazoa; Cnidaria; Anthozoa; Malacalcyonacea; Plexauridae. The record is from RNAcentral.
CCAGGCUCUUUCCUCUACGCUCCUAGCUAGAAGCGUAGAUCUUUCCUCUACGCUCCUAGCUAGGAGCGUAGAGGAAAGAGCCUGGGA